RNAcentral lists this long non-coding RNA (818 nucleotides) under Trifolium pratense (red clover). RNAcentral's name for it is "long non-coding RNA (TPRA_LNC004400)". Lineage: Eukaryota; Viridiplantae; Streptophyta; Magnoliopsida; Fabales; Fabaceae. The record is from RNAcentral.
AACACUCUUCUCCCCUUAACUCACCAGCUUAAUUUUUGGCUUUAAUCACACACACACACACACUCUUCCCAAAUAGUACUUUCUCUGUGAAACAAAAAACUUUCCUUAUCAAAGUAGAUCUGCAUUUCUUCUUGAAUCAUCAUAAUCAUCAUGUCAUUUCAUUAUUUCCCUGAAUUUCAUAGGAUAAUAUAUCAAGAUAAGAAGCUGGUAAGCUAAGCAUACUAAUUCAACAUGUAUAUUUAUUAAUUUACAUUAUAUAUGUUUCAUUUAUAUUUUUUGUUUUAAAAAUAUUAAUAUCUUUUUGAAUGUUUUGUUGUAAUGUAGAGUAUUCCCAAGAAAUAUAUGGAGAAAUAUUGGAAAGGAAUGUCAAACCCAAUAUUCCUUAGAUUCCCAAAUGGUGUUGAACAAGAAAUAUUUUGGGGGGAGAGUAAUACUAAUGAUGAUAUUUGCUUUCAAAAAAAUUGGGAAAAUUUUGCAAAGUGUCUCAAAUAUGGAAAUCUCUUAACUUUUAAACACAUAGGUGGACCAUAUUUCAUGGUUAACAUAUUUGGUGUCAAUGGUUUAGAAAUAAACUAUUCCAAUGUAAAAUCCAUUGUUGAUCAACAAGUUGUUGAAGAAGUAGCUAAAGAAAUUGCAAAGCAACCACAAAGAAAAAGUAAUAUCAAGAGAGAAAUAAGUAUGGAUUGGGAUUCUAAACACCAAAAAUUCUCAGGUAGUAACAGAGGAGGCAUGAUGAAGAAGGCUAAAAAAUGCACAACAACUGCUGCAGCUGCUAAUCAAAAUCCCUUUUUUGAAGUUGUAUUGUCAAAAACGUAUGC